UGUGGAUGUGUAGAGUUUAUUGCACAAUUUAUGAAGUGGUGAGAUUGCUGUAUGCAAAUCUGUCUAGAUGGCUCCCUCAGAGGCUUGCGCUAAUUACCCGAGGCAGGCAGGGAAGAGGGAAAGAAAAAGGUAUACAAAAACUCACUAGUUUUUCUUUCUUUUGUUGCUGUUGUUUCUUAGGGUCAAAGAAGAGACUUGACAGAAAAAUUAAGCUGAAAGGAGAGAACAUCUAUGUCCAAGUCCUACGAGGCCUUGCAUCUCUGACCUAAGGGGAUAUUGUAGAAAUAAAAACCUUGACUCGAAACCAGCAGGGAAACCCCAGUAGGCGAAGCGUGGGGAAGACACAGGAACAGCUGAAUGUUGAUUUGCAAUGCUUGUUAUGCACUUCUGAUGUGCUUGCCCUAAAGCUAAAGCAAGCUUCCAGUGGCACUAACAGCAUUUGGUCAGUAAUAGGCUACAAGAUAUAAACAUGUUGAGUAAAAGACAUCGCUGUUUACUGUUCUGUAAAUUGGUUCAUGGUGUUAUGGAGACCUGGUGCUUUUUACAGGGCUUCUGUUGUGCAAAUAGCAUAAUUAAACCCAUUGACAUCUUUUUGAAGUAUAAGUAGCUACUCAUAAUUUUUCAAAAAAUGGCAAAAUGGCAUGAAUAUAUUUCACAGUGAAUCUAUUCCCUUUCUAAACUGGAUAUGCAGUUUAUCAGAAAGUGAGAUGGAUUGGAUGGGAAUGCAUUUAAAAAAAAAAAAAAAAAAAGAAAGAUAGAAAACAAAGACUUUGCCUUCCCUCCAGGAAUGAAUUUACCCACAGACAGGUCCUACAGACUGGUAUCCUUACAUGCUCAAAGUUCUGUGUAUUUUGACUCUUAAUGUAUUGCAGGUACAAUUUGUGGCUCUUAUUUGGGAAAGGACAUAGGAGAAACUUUUCUUAAACUCGGUGCUGUCCAGCUGAAGAAUUUGUUUCAGUGGUAUCCCAUUUUGUUCUCAACCUUUUUUAUUUUUAAUGUUAAACUUUAAUUUAAUCAGAUGUUUAAAAUAUAGUUGACAAUAAUUCAGAUGCAUAACUUGUUACUUUUCAGCAUAACCAGGAUCUAAAGCCAUCAUUUGGGAUUACUGGGGUAUGAAACAACAUGAAAAUAUGAAUAGCAGAAUGAUUAAGUUGUCUACUGUGUCAGGGAAUAACGUUGUUUGCUGAUAUGCAGUACAGCUCCUGGAGCACUUUACUUUGUCAAGACUCUUGAGAAGCACAACAGUUUGAAAAUACUUGUACCCAAACAAAUGAAAAGAUUUCAGAAUAUUUAUUUAAGCUCUGGAGGAAAUGUUUGUUCCAAAGUAGCCUUGCUGCUGUUUAUUCUGUUCUGUGAAAAGAGCUGUGAUAAUUUUAGGAGUUAUGUCUCGUAAACCACAAUAAUCUUUGAAAAAAAAAAUCUUUUAAAAGGCACAGAUGCAUAAUACAUAUGCUUGGAUAAAUAGCAAUGGAUGUGCUCUUCAAUAAGAGGUGUGAACAGUAAUUGAUGAAAUGGUCAUUGUUUUCAAUUUGCAGUAACCAUAACAGCUAAGGAAGGUGUCUCAGGGACUUUCACAAUUGCCUGUGAUAUGGGGUAGAAUCUGAGUAAAAGCACUUCCCUAAAGUGAGUCUGCUAACUGCUCAGAGUUUUGAGACUUGAUCCAUUGCUAAUAUUUUAUCAAUAUGAUGUUAUAUAUAUUGAUAAAAUUUUCACUUGCAUGCAGAGAAUGACAAUUUGUUACAUAUUCUUUUGUUUUAAUAUUGCUUGAAGCUUCACUCUGAACAAUUGCCUGUUGUUACAAGUGUGUUUAAGCUGCAAAUAAGCAGCCCAAGCCCAUCUGCUACUGAAAGAAGGAAGGUUGUGGCAAAGCUCAGCAUGCUGAGAGUGCAGUCUUAGAGAAAUGCAGCUGAGUUAAUGCAGAAGCCUCUGACAUUUUUCAUUUUCUUGGAGGUGCUACUUUGCUAUGGAGUAAAGUACGAUUAUGUCUAUCAUACACAGUACAGAGUGUUGCAUCAUCUUAGUCUUAUUCCACAACAAUCAUUACCUAGAAGAUCACAGCAAAAGGCAGUGUUCAUGGAAAAGGGUAUGGCUGUCAGUCAAAAUCAUUCCCUCGACUCCUUUCCAUGAUUAUCAACUGAACAUAAAGAAAUGUAGUUAUAAAAGGCCUUCCCGUGACUCUCUUGUGCUCUGCAAGCCUGGUGUUUAGCUCUGAAAGCAGUAUCCUUCUACUGGCACGGGUCAAGCCCUUCUCUCAAGCUUCGGAAACCCAGACUUACUUGGCAGCCUGAGGAAUAAUCUUGCAGGAAUUACAUCAUGUUUCCACAAAACUUAGCCUGGACUUGAGCUAGAGUCUUCACAAGAUGUUAUUUUGAUUUGGGCAGAAGAGCUUUUCCUGAAAAAGGCAAUGUUAUUGCUGAGAAUUGAGUUUCUGAUAUAUAACAGAUAAGGUAAUAUUUUGGUUUCUCCCAGACCAGAAGCUGUUUUCAUGAGAGAUUUCAUUACAUACAUCCUAAUGAAACCUUUAGCAAACAUCUGGGGGAGAAUCUUGCCAUUGCUGUUUUGCAGCAUCUGGACACAGUUGUUUCUAUCUACAGAGCACGUCACUUCCUAUUAAUCCAUUGCAUUCUGUCCUUUUCUGCUUUCUGCCUGCACGCCGCUUGUUCUUCCCCAUCUGCUGCCCACACUUUAUUACUUCUCUCCCUUUCAGCCCAACAGCCCCUUUUCAAGGCAGGCCAAUAUCUCAUGCUGCCUCUGCUUAUGCCUACUGGAGGAAUUCCCAGGGUGAUGCUCUGACACAAGACAGUCCAUCACAGAUUCUCUGGACCUAAAGUAUUUAAGCAUUUACAACACUGUCUUUCUAAGCACGCUAAAGAGUAAUUCCAGGCCAAAACUGCGCAUACACAACCAUUCUUCAUCUCACCUAGGGUAAGACAAGCACUCCAAAUCAACUGCCACUUCCCUGGCAACAAAGAAAAAUUUGGCUCAGCAAAGUGUCUCUGCUGAGGAUCCACAGACUCCUGGGACUUCUGAGUGGGGCAUGAUACAGCUCUCCAGUGUGAUAGCUGGGUUGAUACAUCAUUCUGUAGGCCUUCACUAGCCAGGCCAGAGUUUUUUUUCUUUUUUUUUUUCUUUUUUUUUCCUCCAAAGCUUCAAGGAAAGAUGUGCAGUUCCUUCCCCUUCACAUCCACUCCUCCAGUCAUGAACCCUUUCCAGCAGUGUUCUGCUGGCUGUGACCUGGUGAGUGUGUCCCUAAUGCUAACAAACCUGCACAUACUUGUCUUUCAGAACAUCUUUAGAAUUGCUCUCCAUCAGUGCGUACCUUAAGAGUACCUUAACAACCCUUCUUCUUCCUUUGUCUACAUUCUGCUGUUGCCUCACUGGUUGUUGCAGGUGCUUUCUAUGUUAUCACUACAUAUUUAACCGAUGCCUUUUUCUAUUUACUUGUUUUUGGUUUUCCCUCUCUGUUUUUUUUUUUUUUUUUUUUUUUUUUUUUUUUUUUUGUGAUGCCAUUCUCAUCUUUCACAUGGAAAUGUUUUAUAAUGAGUGUAUGAGUUAAAAUGCAUAAAAAUAUGUACUUUUAUGUAAGAAAAACAUGCUUUCCAGUAGGUAUUGAAAUUACUGCAUGCCACUUGUGUUAAGUAAAUACUGGUGCCAGUUUGUGUCUGGAGAGUUGUACAGUUCCAGUUAAAACAAGAUAUGAAUGGUUCAUCAUUGGUAACAUGCUAUUUCCAGCAAAAUAUGUCAGAAAGUCACUGAAACUUCUCAAUUAACUGAGUGAUGUUAAUGUGGUUUCAGAAAAGAGAAAAUGGUCAUGUUUUCUUGCACUACUGGGGAUAAUGCCAAGUAUGUGGUAUUAAAUCAACUAUCUGGUAAUAAAAGUUAUAUGGAAACAGAUUUUGGUUACUAU
Molecule: long non-coding RNA, 3907 nt
Filed under: Anas platyrhynchos platyrhynchos (common mallard)
Lineage: Eukaryota; Metazoa; Chordata; Aves; Anseriformes; Anatidae
Description: lncRNA (ENSAPLG00000021414.1)
Source: RNAcentral